UGUCGUCAUGGUCGUGGGAACGGUGGCGGAAUGCUCGCCUGCCGAGGACGGCCGGCGGCGUUUGCGUUGCGAGAUCGUUGCCCGUGUCGGCGA
RNAcentral lists this transfer RNA (93 nucleotides) under Pandoraea fibrosis. Its description in RNAcentral is "tRNA-Ser". The record is from RNAcentral. Lineage: Bacteria; Pseudomonadati; Pseudomonadota; Betaproteobacteria; Burkholderiales; Burkholderiaceae.